RNA transcript from Piliocolobus tephrosceles (Ugandan red Colobus), 10493 nucleotides. It is a transcript of the gene named zinc finger protein 142, with no coding region annotated. The transcript is spliced from 12 exons. The record is from RefSeq and is a predicted model, not a curated record. NCBI's taxonomy places the organism in Eukaryota, Metazoa, Chordata, Mammalia, Primates, Cercopithecidae.
AUCGACUUCCCGCCACACCCACCAAGAAGCCCACGCCACUCUAUCCCAGAGCUCUCGAUGGUGCUUCUCCGGCUUCAGGGCUGGAGUGGGGGUGGAGGGCGGGAAAAACCACUGGGAGAAAACAUAGAGUACCCCGGCAGCCGGCAAGAGGAAGAGAGAGUGCCUUCCACAUCCCCAAUAUCCUAGAGGCGGCUGGGCCGGAGGCGGUCGCACAAAGGGGGCACCGGGGGCCGCUCCAGCCGCGGCCGACCAUAGAGAUGCGGCUCCAGCCGGCUCGGGGUCUGGAGCCUUCCAGGUUACAAGCUGCCUUUCCCGUUCGCUGGCUCUUAUGAUCCAGCUCCCGCCCGACUAUGUGGACACUGUCAUCACCUCCAUUUUACAGACAGGAAAGCUGAGGCCCAGAGAAGCGAUGCGACUGUGUCUGUCCAAGGCUACGCGGUGAAGGUUCUUAAUCUUGACGGCUCAGCGUCCUCCUUGGCUCCCCCCGGAGGCCAUGUAUGGCCAAGCUGGAAGAUUCCCCAGAGCAGCGAUAAUAUUCACAUUUAAGAGGCCAAAACACACAAGUCGGUGGUGAUGACAGACCCACUUUUGGACUCACAGCCAGCCCAUAGCACCGGAGAGAUGGAUGGACUGUGUCCUGAGCUACUGCUGAUCCCCCCGCCUCUCUCUAACCGUGGAAUCCUAGGGCCUGUCCAGAGCCCCUGUCCUUCCGGGGACCCUGCGCCUUUGCCUACUGAGCCAGGCUGCCUGCUGGUAGAGGCCACAGCAACUGAAGAGGGACCAGGGAACGUGGAGAUCAUUGUGGAGACAGUAGCUGGAACCCUGACCCCAGGUGCUCCUGGAGAGACCCCAGGUGUCCUGGUAAAGGUGGUGGAGGUGUACUUCUGUGAGCGCUGUGAACAGAGCUUCGCAGAGCCCACUCUGCUGGCCCUGCACCAGUGCAGUGAGACCCAUAUACAGCCUGUGCAGGGCCUCUCUAGCCUCCCAUGCUCUGUAGAGCUGCCUCCCGGCAACCCAACCCUCCCUGACGCUCUGCAGGGCCAGAGCCCACCAGUUAGUCCCCUAUCAUGCCCUGUGUGUAGACAGGAGUUUGCCCAACCCCAGGCCCUGAAGAGCCACUUCAAGAUUCACCGGGGCACUCCUGACACCUUCUCCUGCCCAGAAUCUGGCUGUGUGUUCUCUGCUGAAGAUCGCAAGGGUCUGCAGCACCACCUGAGGCAGACUCACAGAGCAGUUCCUGUGCCCUGUUCUUUCCGGGGCUGCCCCCUGCUUUUCGGGAGCCAGCAGGGCAUGGAGCUGCACCGGCAGGCGCAUUACCCUUUCCACUGCAGCCACUGCAGCUUCAUGGGCUCCAACGUCAAACUCUUCCGGCAGCAUCAGCGGAGCCAUGGUGCUGGGACACAGGGAGAACUUUCUGCCGUUCAGGGCCUUCCAUCCCAGGAGCUGCUGCCAGCUCCCAAACUGCCUCCAGGAGGGAGAGAACCUUCACAGGAAGCAGGUACACCCCUGCCUGGGCAAGAGACAGCUGAAGAGAAGAAUGUAGAGAAAGAAGAGAAGAGUGACACCCAGAAGAACUCCCAGAAGGCUGUGGAUAAAGGCCAAGGGGCUCAGCGGCUGGAAGGGGAUGUGGUCUCUGGCACCGAGUCCCUCUUCAAGACCCAUAUGUGUCCAGAGUGUAAGCGCUGCUUUAAGAAGCGGACCCAUCUGGUGGAGCACCUUCAUCUCCACUUCCCAGACCCCAGUCUCCAGUGCCCCAACUGCCAGAAGUUCUUCACCAGUAAGAGCAAGCUCAAGACCCAUCUGCUGCGGGAGCUGGGUGAAAAGGCCCACCACUGCCCACUGUGCCACUAUAGUGCGGUGGAGAGGAAUGCACUCAACCGCCACAUGGCCAGCAUGCAUGAAGAUAUUUCCAACUUCUACUCAGAUACCUAUGCCUGUCCUGUCUGCCGUGAGGAAUUCCGCCUCAGCCAGGCCCUCAAGGAGCACCUCAAGAGCCACACGGCAGCAGCCGCGGCAGAGCCGUUACCCCUUCGCUGCUUUCAGGAGGGCUGCAGCUAUGCGACACCCGACCGCAAGGCCUUCAUUAAGCACCUGAAGGAGACGCAUGGGGUGCGGGCUGUGGAGUGCCGCCAUCACUCAUGUCCCAUGCUCUUUGCCACAGCCGAAGCCAUGGAGGCCCACCACAAGAGCCACUACGCCUUCCACUGCCCCCACUGUGACUUUGCUUGUUCCAAUAAGCACCUAUUCCGUAAACACAAGAAGCAGGGCCACCCUGGCAGUGAAGAGCUGCGCUGCACCUUCUGCCCCUUUGCCACCUUCAACCCAGUGGCUUACCAGGAUCAUGUAGGCAAGAUGCAUGCUCAUGAAAAGAUCCACCAGUGUCCUGAGUGCAGCUUUGCCACUGCCCACAAGAGGGUGCUCAUCCGACACAUGCUUCUACAUACCGGUGAGAAGCCUCACAAAUGUGAGCUGUGUGACUUCACAUGUCGAGACGUGAGCUACCUAUCGAAGCACAUGCUGACCCACUCCAACACCAAGGAUUACAUGUGCACUGAAUGUGGCUAUGUCACCAAGUGGAAGCACUACCUCCGUGUGCACAUGCGAAAACAUGCAGGAGACCUCAGGUAUCAGUGCAACCAGUGCUCCUAUCGCUGCCACCGGGCUGAUCAGCUGAGCAGCCACAAGCUGCGGCAUCAGGGCAAGUCUCUGAUGUGUGAGGUGUGUGCCUUCGCCUGCAAGCGGAAGUAUGAGCUGCAGAAGCACAUGGCUUCCCAGCACCACCCUGGCACAACGGCCCCGCUCUACCCUUGUCACUACUGCAGUUACCAGAGCCGCCACAAGCAGGCUCUGCUGAGCCAUGAGAACUGCAAGCAUACCCGCCUCCGUGAGUUCCACUGUGCCCUCUGUGACUAUCGCACCUUCAGCAACACCACACUCUUGUUCCACAAACGCAAGGCCCAUGGCUAUGUGCCUGGAGACCAGGCCUGGCAGCUCCGCUACGCGAGCCAGGAGCCAGAAGGGGCCAUGCAGGGCCCGACACCCCCACCAGAUUCAGAGCCCUCAAGCCAGCUGUCUGCCCAGUCUGAGGGGCCAGGUCACGAACCUGGGACUGUGGUGGAUCCCAGCUUGGACCAGACCCUGCCAGAGACAAGUGAGGAGGUCAACACUGGAAGACAGGAGGGCAGUGAGGCUCCCCAUGGGGUUGAGCUGGCUGGCAGUUCCAGCCCAGCAGAGGUGGAAGAGGGCAGCUGCACACUACACCUAGAGGCCCUGGGAGUAGAGCUGGAGUCUGUGACUGAGCCACCCCUUGAGGAGGUCACUGAAACAGCCCCUGUGGAGUUCAGGCCCCUGGGACUGGAAGGGCCAGAUGGACUGGAAGGACCAGAGCUAUCUAACUUUGAAGGUAUUGGGACUUCUGACUUGGGUGCUGAAGGAAAUCCCCUUCUGGAAAAGCUAGCGUCGGAGCCCUCCACAAAUCCAUCCUUAGAGGAGGCCCCUAACAACUGGGUAGGAACCUUCAAGGCAACUCCACCUGCUGAGACAGCACCCUUGCCCCCGUUACCUGAGUCAGAGUCGUUACUCAAGGCUCUAAGGAGACAGGAUAAAGAACAAGCAGAGGCAUUGGUGCUGGAGGGGCGGGUGCAGAUGGUAGUGAUCCAGGGAGAGGGGCGAGCCUUCCGCUGCCCACACUGCCCUUUUAUCACUCGCCGGGAGAAGGCCCUGAAUCUGCACUCCAGGACUGGGUGCCAGGGCCGUCGAGAGCCCCUGCUGUGCCCUGAGUGUGGGGCUAGCUUCAAGCAACAGCGUGGCCUCAGCACCCACCUGCUGAAGAAGUGCCCUGUUUUGCUCAGAAAGAACAAGGGCUUGCCCAGACCAGAUUCACCCAUCCCUCUGCAACCUGUGCUCCCACGUACCCAGGCCUCAGAGGACACAGAAGGUGGGAAGCCCCCACCUGCACCACUAGAAGCAGAGCUACUGCUUCCGAAAGAUGUUCCUUUGGAGCUUCCCAGGGAGCCAGAAGAAACAGAAGAGCCUCUUGCCACAGUCUCUGGUUCCCCAGUCCCUCCUGCAGGAAACUCCUCGCCCACAGAGGCCCCGAAGAAACACCGCUUUGAGCAGGGCAAGUUUCACUGCAACUCCUGCCCAUUCCUUUGUUCCCGGCUCUCCUCUAUUACCUCUCACGUGACUGAAGGCUGCAGGGGAGGACGUGGCGGGGGAGGAAAACGAGGGACCCCCCAGACCCAGCUUGUGUCCCCAUUGAGCAAUGGGGACUCUGCUACCCUGAAGAAUGGGAGUACAGAGUCCAGCUCUGGUGAUGGGGAUACAGUUCUGGUUCAAAAGCAGAAGGGGGCUCGCUUCUCCUGCCCCACAUGUCCCUUUAGCUGCCAGCAGGAACGGGCUCUGAGGACUCACCAGACCCGGGGCUGCCCCCUCGAGGAGUCUGGAGAGCUGCACUGCAGCCUCUGCCCAUUCACUGCUCCUGCUGCCUCUGCCUUGAGGCUCCACCAGAAGCGGAGGCACCCCACUGUGGCCCCAGCCCGUGGGCCCCGGCCCCAUCUGCAGUGUGGGGACUGUGGCUUCACCUGUAAACAGAGCCGUUGCAUGCAGCAGCACCGGCGGCUCAAGCACGAGGGGGUGAAGCCUCAUCAGUGCCCCUUCUGUGACUUUUCCACCACCAGACGGUACCGGUUAGAGGCUCACCAGUCCCGACACACAGGCAUUGGCCGCAUCCCCUGCAGCUCUUGCCCCCAGACAUUUGGUACCAACUCGAAACUGCGCUUGCACCGGUUAAGGGUACAUGACAAAACACCCACCCAUUUCUGUCCACUUUGUGACUAUAGUGGCUACCUUCGCCAUGACAUUACUCGUCAUGUCAACAGCUGCCACCAAGGCACCCCAGCCUUUGCCUGCUCCCAGUGUGAAGCCCAGUUCAGCUCAGAGACAGCACUUAAGCAGCAUGCUCUGCGCCGACACCCCGAGCCUGCACAGCCUGCCCUUGGCUCUCCUGCAGAGACCACUGAGGGCCCCCUGCACUGUUCCCGCUGUGGGUUGCUGUGCCCCAGCCCUGCCAGCUUACGAGGACACACCCGUAAACAGCACCCACGGCUUGAGUGUGGGGCCUGCCAGGAGGCCUUCCCUAGCCGACUGGCUCUGGAUGAGCACCGGAGGCAGCAGCAUUUCAGCCACCGCUGUCAGCUCUGUGACUUUGCUGCCCGGGAGCGGGUGGGCCUGGUGAAGCACUACCUGGAACAGCAUGAGGAGACUUCAGCAGCUGUGGCAGCCUCAGAUGGGGAUGGGGAUGCUGGCCAGCCCCCUCUGCACUGCCCCUUUUGUGACUUCACGUGCCGCCAUCAGCUGGUACUAGAUCACCAUGUGAAAGGGCAUGGGGGCACUCGUCUCUACAAGUGCACCGAUUGUGCUUACAGCACCAAGAACCGGCAGAAGAUCACCUGGCACAGCCGUAUCCACACUGGGGAAAAGCCUUACCACUGUCACCUCUGCCCUUACGCCUGUGCUGAUCCCUCUCGCCUCAAGUACCACAUGCGGAUCCACAAGGAGGAACGGAAGUACCUGUGCCCUGAGUGUGGCUAUAAGUGCAAGUGGGUCAACCAGCUCAAAUACCACAUGACCAAGCACACAGGACUGAAGCCAUACCAGUGUCCCGAGUGUGAGUACUGCACCAACCGGGCUGAUGCACUGCGUGUGCACCAGGAGACCCGGCAUCGAGAAGCACGGGCUUUCAUGUGUGAGCAGUGCGGCAAGGCCUUCAAGACGCGCUUCCUGCUGCGCACCCACCUUCGCAAGCACAGUGAGGCCAAACCCUAUGUGUGCAACGUGUGCCACCGUGCUUUCCGCUGGGCUGCUGGCCUGCGCCAUCAUGCCCUCACCCACACUGACCGCCACCCCUUCUUUUGCCGCCUCUGCAACUACAAGGCCAAGCAAAAGUUCCAGGUGGUCAAGCACAUACGCAGGCACCACCCUGACCAAGCCGACCCAAACAAGGGUGUGGGCAAAGACCCCACCACCCCCACAGUGCACCUGCAUGAUGUGCAGCUGGAGGAUCCCAGCCCUCCUGCUCCUGCCGCUCCCCACACUGGACCUGAGGGCUGAAAGCCUGCCCCACAUCCUGAAUAGGAAGAGGGUAUGGUCUGAGAUGUGCAGACUGGGAUCAGCACUAACCUGAGGAGCCUAAGGAAGGACUGGCUUUUGAGGAGCAAGGGUGACUAGAACCUUCCUGGGACUCUGGCUAUAGUACUUUGAAAUUAUCACCCAUAUAAAAGGGGGACAUGGACUACAAUGUUGAUUUCUUAUUGCUGUACAUUGUGUUUUUAACCUGCGAGUUCCCGGUUUCUUCCCCAUCACUCCAUCGAAGUCCCUGGCUAUAAGAUCUGGAUUUCACCCACUCAGUCUUCUCUUUCCUUCUUACUGUGUCAAGUCCUAUUUUCUUUCAGAAUCUUCUAAAAACGGUUGUAUCUAACCGCAUGUGCUGUUGUGCCUAAUGCUCUAUAAAGCAUGUUAAACAGAAAGUGGUUACUACAUUAUAGAUUUAUCCAAAUCCCUGUCUUAACAUUUCCAGGCUGUCAUCUUGAUCAACUCUGUCCCCUCUCAGACCUCUGCCUCCCUUUUGUCUCCUUCCAUCUUCACUUAGUAUUGAUUCUGAAACAGGCCUAGGUCUGCCUUCUCUCUGUCCUUGAGCUGUCUUGACCCUUGGCCAGCUCCCUACUUCAAGCUCCUUUGUCUACCUGUAUCUAUAAAGGGAGGAUUGCUACCCACUAAGCCUCCUCCUAGAAGCAACUUUAGCUCAUCAUCAAUCCUCAGACUGGCUCAGCACCUGCAGUAAGGUGUUAAAGUACAAGGAUACUAUGGAAAGGCAGAUGACUAGAGAGGAAAAUCUCCAAUUCAGAAUUCUGUAACUGCUUCACAGUAUAAUUCUGUAGUGCCUUACUAUAUAAUUGAUCAUCUAACCUGGGACACACUGGGAAAACUUAAAGAGGGUACUAUUAAUAAUUAUGCUGGGACAAUAGACAUAAACCAGCAUGGUUCCAGCCAGAAUCUUCAGGAAGGCUGGGACCACAUAAUCUUUUGUCUUCUUUUGCCCUGAUUCUUAAAAGCCAUACUCUGUGUCCUUCCUAUGUAGCACAUACAGGAGGUCUCCUGGGAACUUCUUUCUCUACCUUUUCCUUCUCUCACCUGACUACCCAGAUGUCCCCACAACCCUUGUGCCUCCCCUCCUUGCCCAACAGUGACAGACCAUAUUGAAGCCAAAUUGGAGAGAGAUAUAUUUAUACCAGUGGGGCCAAGGAGGAAGCAGUCCAGUGGGGACUGUGAGUGCUGUGCAGUGUUCUCUUGAGAGUCGUACAGUCCUGGGGUCAAGUCUCUCCCUAAUCUUUGCCAGGGAAGCCUUGAGCCUUGAUUUAUCCUUCCCUUGGCUUUGGGCUUUGAGGAAGUUGGGAGUGGAGGAGAUGAUGCUUCUUUAGGUUUCUCUGUUCCAAGCCCCUCUGAAUUUCUAGGUGCAAUCUGCCUUCACACAGAGUUGAUGGGAAAGAUUAGUCAUAGAUGUUGGUAUGGGAUUGAGCCUAUAGCAGGAGGAAGAAGGGAACUCCAGUAUAGAGUACAUAAAGGGAAAGGGCAGGAAAGAUACCAAAGGCUUAUGAAAACAAAGGAAGGAAAGAAAAGAGAAAAAAGGUGGAAAGUCAGGUCCCAGAUUUGCUUGUUAGGAAGGAUGAGGUAAUUUUGUGCCUAGGAAUGCACAAUCCAAAGCUUGGUUUUCACCACUUCCAUUUGUUCUCUAGAGCGUCCUUCCAGGUGUUUCGCACCAUCUAAAGCCAGCACACAAACCCUUCCCGUGAAGUGCCCACCUCAGGACUCAUCCCCCUCCAGACCUUCUCGGAUGCAGAUAUACACAAAGAUGGAAGCUGGGCAGAGGCUGAUGCCAUCUUUGGACAGCAGUUGGUCUCCUGCCGUGCUGUGUCUAGACGGACACCAAAGAUCUGCACUUUCACCAGUGGAUCCACAAUGGACCCCUCUUUGGUCUUGUUGAGUUUGGGGAGUUGCUGACCACUGAUCACCUGUAACGAGGGCUCUGGAAUCUCACGAGUUCCUGCUCAGCCCAGCCCCACCUGACCCUACUCCCAAUCCCAGGGGAGGAGAAGCUUUUUGGUUUGCAGAACAUCCUCCAUGGGUAAUAUAUUUUCUUCUAGUAUUCUAUCUGCAAUUUAAAAUGCAUCCAAGGGCCAGGUGCAGUGGCUCACACCUGUAAUCCUAACAUUUCGGGAGGCCAAGGUGGGUGGAUCACUUGAAAUCAGGAGAUCAGCCUGGGCAACAUGGUGAAAUCCUAUCUCUGCUAAAAAUACAAAAAUAAGCAAAGCGUGGUGGCGGGCGCCUGUAGUCCCAACUACUCGGAAGGCUCAGAUGGGAGAAUCACUUGAACCGAGAAGGCGGAGGUUGCAGUGAGCGAAGAUCAUGCCACUGCUGCCACUGCACUCCGGCCUAGGCAGCAGAGCAAGACUCUGUCUCAGAAUAAAUAAAUAAAUAAAAUAAAAUGGAUCCAGGUAGAAAUUCAACAGUUUGAAAGUAGGCAUGCUAAUGACAGCAGCCUCUUUUUUUUUUUCAAAGAGACACGAUGACACUCUUGCCCAAGCUGGAAUGCAGUGGGGUGGUCAUCACUCACUACAACCUCCAACUCCUGGGCUCAAGUGACCCUCCAGCCUUAUUAGUCUCCUAAGUAGCCAGGACUAUAGUCAUGUGCCAGGCUAAUUUUUAAAUUUUUUGUAGAGACGGGGGUCUUACUGUUGUCCAGGCUGGUCUCAAACUCCUGGGCUCAAGCAAUCCUCCUGCCUUGGCCUCCAAAGCGCUGAGAUUACAGAUGUAAGCUAUCGUUCCCAAUCAGCCUCUUUUAUAGCACUUCCUGUGUACCAGGAGUUGUAAGAACUUCAUAUUAACAACUAUACUCCUUAUAACCCUGUCAGGCAGGUGGUAGUGUUACCCCCAUUUUGCAGGUGAGCAGACUGAGGUAUGGAGAGGUUAAGGAACUUGCCCAACAUUACCCAAUUAGGAAGUUGUGGUUUGAAGCUAGGCAGCUGGCUCCAAAAGCUAAAACUAGACAGUUAAUAUUCCUGUCAGGCCUAGCCACCUCUUUCCUCACUUCUAUCCCAGUUAUCUCAGUUUCUUCCCAACAGUUUAUUUCCAUUGUACCUGGAUUAAGAGAGUCUGGGCCUUGAAAGGGCUGAUGGGUCUCUCGGGGUGGAAGGAACUUUGGUUAUCACGCAGGAAGUCUGGCUUCAGCACAUAGCCACAGCCGCCAUUCUGGCGGAAAUGCCCAUCACAGAUGUCCAUUUCAAGCCCUGCAGUCUGCAUAUUCAUGGCCACUGAGGGCCCCAGGAGAAAAGAAGAGCAAGAUUCACCAUGGAGGCCUUCCAGCCCCUCUUUGAGGGAGUUAAGAAGAUAGGUAUAGGGUACAUGGUACCUGCUGGUAAUACCUCCACUGAUAGCACUUCUCAGCCUAGCGAUUUUCUUGAGCAUUCCCCAACCCUACUGUCACUAGAGAGCUUAUUUCCCACCUGCUGCUCCACUCCCUCUUCCCAGUUCCUGCUGCCGCCUCACCCAUCUGGCAGCCUGCAUUCCAGAGUUCCUGGGGGUUGUAGUUGGAAGAGUCGGUCCUCAGGCCACUGGGAUACACACGGCUUAACUGCCAAGUAUUGUGCUGCACAAACUCAUUGCCUAUAAAAGGGUAUAGAGAGGGAGAUGGAAGCGGGGUGGAAUCUCCCACUUCCCUAGUCCCAAGGACCCUGCCUACCCUUCACCCUUCUCUCCAGCAUCUGAAGCUGGCUCCAGAAAGUUUCACUAUGCCUCUCUAUUCUGUUCCAUCCAGACCAUCUUCCCCAGCUUUCCUGCCCCUAGACCCUUGAGCCACUAUUCAUAACUCCUCUACCCAUGCCUGUUCUGAGGAGUUUCUGAACUCCUUCAUCCCUCCUUAGAUACCUUGUCUUUUUUCUUGGGACUUACCUGCCAGGCCUUCGGGCCUGAACCUAUCCAUCCCGCUUCCCCCCCCAUCCCUCCAUUUUGGUCCUGACCAGCCUCCUUGAUGAGGCGCUUGGCCUUGGUUUCAGAGAAAGAUGAUAUCUCAUAGAAGUGGUAGUGCUCCUUUGAAUGUGUGAAGCUGCGGAAUGAGACAGACUUCAAGUAGAUAACCAGGGAAGAGAGGGCUGGACACAAGAUGUUCUUGGAUUUCUGGAAAAGGUGUAAAAGAAGAUGGAAUUGAACCCUCAGCAGUCUGAGAGAGAAGAAGCUAAUGGCCAUCCAACCUAAACCUCUGCCCACUGCCUCCCCGGUGUAUUCUCCCUCCUGCCUCACCUGCUGGGACAAGAGAAGGGACUCAGGCUUGGAAAUAGCCUGGGUCACAAUCUGACAACAGAUAGAUGGACAAAACAGCGGACACGUCACAACCUGGGGGUGGGAAUGGGAAUAAAGGCGGUCUGCAUGUACUGCUGGGA